UUUUAAAAACUUAAGACGUAAAAUUAAUUAAAAUAGUUUAUAGAAAACAUAACUAAUGUAUUAUUAAAACAUAUUGUGAUGCAGAAAUAAUUAAAUUUGAACAUCUGGUAUAGUUUGUUCGAUUGGCUACUACGCUUGGCGAAUCAAAGACAGCUAUCUUUAAAUUGAAUAUUACCAAGAACAGGGUGAAUUUAAAUGUUGAUAUAUAUAUAAUUAUUGCGAUAUCUUAAGGCUUUUAUGGAAGCAAUAGAGUGACAAGAAUGUUCUUAAAUAAUGCCAUUUUGGCAAACUUAAUAUGCCCUGGAAUAAUAUAAAAUGGGACAAGAAUGGAAUUUUCAAUAAUUCAUCCGAUCAAUCAAAAAUAAAUUUUCCAGUUGCCAUUUACAGUAAGGAUGGUGCCAAUUUUUUGUAACAUAUUGAAUAAACAAUUGUCUCUUAGGUUAAUAUUAUUAAUAAAAUAUUAAUAAAUAUUAUU
Bactrocera oleae (olive fruit fly) is the source of this 475-nucleotide non-coding RNA. The record is from RefSeq and is a predicted model, not a curated record. NCBI's taxonomy places the organism in Eukaryota, Metazoa, Arthropoda, Insecta, Diptera, Tephritidae.